UGGAUGUUGCUCUUCAGUUGCAGCCCUAGGUGCUGAUGUGCAAGAUGGCUGGACCAUUCUCCCUCCUAUAAUCCACAAAUGCAGGUUGUACAAUCAGUGGUAUCUGGUUGCCUCACCAUUGGCCCUUCUCCAGCAAUGGUCCCAACAGCCUAUGGGAGUGAGAGGAAGCCAAGGAGCUUGCUGCUGCUCUGAAGUAUGAAGUAUAAGGUUAGUCUGCAAUCAAUCGGCUGAACAAGAAGAACCGUAACUUAAGUUUUUAGAAUCAUUCUUCUAUACCACUGGAUGGAUGUUAACUGCUUUGAAUGAGACUGCACCUCCUCUGAAAGAACAAAUGAACAUCUGGGAGUGAUUUUAGAAGUAUCACUAUCUACUUUCAAGAAGUACUUCUUCCAGCAAAUGGAAGCUGACCAUCUAAAUAGUUGCUGCAAAAAGAUCACUGACUACAAACAAUGGCAUGACAAAAUAGCAACAACAGUGCACUGGAAUAUUUGCAAGGAAUAACAUUCACCUUCAAGCUAGAACCGAUAGGACCACAAAAUAGACAAAGUAAUAAAAAAUGAAAAAGCUAAA
Non-coding RNA from Pantherophis guttatus, 570 nucleotides. The record is from RefSeq and is a predicted model, not a curated record. NCBI's taxonomy places the organism in Eukaryota, Metazoa, Chordata, Lepidosauria, Squamata, Colubridae.